Molecule: small nucleolar RNA, 81 nt
Organism: Cynoglossus semilaevis (tongue sole)
Lineage: Eukaryota; Metazoa; Chordata; Actinopteri; Pleuronectiformes; Cynoglossidae
Gene: SNORD79
Rfam family: Small nucleolar RNA SNORD79
About the family: snoRNA U79 or Z22 is found in intron 7 of the gas5 gene in humans and is also present in mice. U79 is a member of the C/D class of snoRNA which contain C (UGAUGA) and D (CUGA) box motifs.
Source: Ensembl
GACUGUAAAUGAUGAUUUUGUUUAAAAACAAUGGGAAUCUCUCUGAAAAGAAUGAAAGAUUUUUUUUUUCCUGAUACAGUG